RNAcentral lists this ribosomal RNA (810 nucleotides) under uncultured bacterium. RNAcentral's name for it is "bacterial SSU rRNA". It matches the Rfam family "Bacterial small subunit ribosomal RNA", at positions 8 to 796 of the family's 1533-position model. The record is from RNAcentral.
AGAGUUUGAUCAUGGCUCAGAAUCAACGCUGGCGGCGUGCCUCAGACAUGCAAGUCGAACGCGAAAGUCCCCUUCGGGGGACAAGUAGAGUGGCGUCCGGGUGAGUAACACGUAGGUAAUCUACCUUCGGGUGGGGAAUAACGCAGGGAAACUUGCGCUAAUACCGCAUAAUGCAGCGGCACCACAUGGUGACAGUUGUUAAAGCGGGGGAUUUUCGAACCUCGCGCCUGAAGAGGAGCCUGCGGCAGAUUAGCUAGUUGGUAAGGUAAUGGCUUACCAAGGCGACGAUCUGUAACCGGCCUGAGAGGGCGGUCGGUCACACUGACACUGACAUACGGGUCAGACUCCUACGGGAGGCAGCAGUCGGGAAUUUUGGGCAAUGGGCGAAAGCCUGACCCAGCAACGCCGCGUGAAGGAUGAAAUCCUUCGGGAUGUAAACUUCGCAAGAAUGGGAAGAAUUAGCGAGUACUAAUACUGCUCGUGAUGACGGUACCAUUUGUAAGCUCCGGCUAACUCCGUGCCAGCAGCCGCGGUAAUACGGGGGGAGCAAGCGUUGUUCGGAUUUACUGGGCGUAAAGGGCGCGUAGGCGGCCAGCACAAGUCAGUUGUGAAAUCUCCGGGCUUAACUCGGAAAGGUCAACUGAUACUGUGCGGCUAGAGUGCAGAAGGGGCAACUGGAAUUCUCGGUGUAGCGGUGAAAUGCGUAGAUAUCGAGAGGAACACCUGCGGCGAAGGCGGGUUGCUGGGCUGACACUGACGCUGAUGCGCGAAAGCCAGGGGAGCGAACGGGAUUAGAUACCCCAGUAGUCC